GGGAUAUUCCGGCACUGGUGGUGGCUGGUUGAGGCCGCAGAGAGCUCCAUCCUACACNCUGCAAACAAAGAAAGAAUAUCAAGCUGACCGGUGGUGUCGGGCCGUUUUGAAGAUCGUCGGCCCUACCACCACCAAGCGGACCCCUUAUGCCCUUCCAAGGGGGGUGUUUUUGAUUUGUGGCGACCGAGCGUGGGCAGGCAUCCCCUCUGGUCUGGUCGGAGGGCCGUGCACCUUUGGCCGGCUGACGCUGUUUACCCCCAACGUCACCCAAAUUAUCAAUUGGAAAAGGACCAACAUCACAUCCGAAUUGGCCAGAUCCAAAAGAGAUCUCAAUGAUCUCACCGAGGAUUGUGAUGAUGAACUUACUCAUUGGUCACAUUCAAAGUCUGUCGCCUUUACCCUUUUGUUGCCUUGGGUAUCGGUAGCUAAAUCUCUAGGUGAAUUGGGCCGCCUAGAGUGUUGGGUGGCUAAACAAGCCAAUCUUACUUCAGCCGCGCUAUACGACCUCCUUACAGACGAGGAAAUUACAAGGAAGGCGACGCUCCAAAACAGAGCAGCAAUAGAUUUUCUAUUGCUGCUCCAUCACCAUCACUGUGAGGAGUUUGAGGGCCUCUGCUGUCUGAACCUGUCCUCAAGAGCUGAGGACGCCAGACACUCCAUCAAAAGACUCCAAGACCUCGUCCAUCAGGUCAAACAGGAGACAUCGGACUGGCUGGGAGACAUUUUCAAGGGUUGGGGCCUUAGUGGGUGGGCCAGCUCAGUCUUAGAAUCAGUUUGUAAAGUAGUUUUAAGUUUGAUUGUACUUUUAGUUUUGUUCACACUAGUCCGCGGUUUGGUCCAAAGACUAAUAGCCAGAGCAACAUCAAAGACUGUCAAUCAUGCCGCACUUCCUCUGGAAGAACACUUCGAGCUGGAAGACCUUUCCUCAGAGGCCGAAGGAGCUGCAGACGAGGAGGAGUCAACUGAGCCGACUCAAGAACAUCUGUGGACUGGCGAACUACAGCUCGAAGAAAGUGAAGAUUGGCAGGACCAGCCGCGGGCAUCUUCUUUUUGAGUUGCAUGGACACUCUAGUUUUCUUUAUUUUAUUUGUUAAGAAACGGGGAGAUGUUGUAGUGUGUUUUUAAGUUUGCUCCCCCAUUUUAUGUAUUGUAUCCCCCUGUUCUUGUAAAUGGUUCCUCCCUCCCCAGUUUUCCCGCCACUGCUCCUCUGGCAGUUGGUUUCCGUAGCAACCCCUGCUUUCAAUCAGUUGUGUUAUAUAAUUCCUCCUCCCUUAUAAGUAAUGUUUUCUUCUCCCUG
This 1297-nucleotide long non-coding RNA is filed under the name Zonotrichia albicollis (white-throated sparrow). RNAcentral's name for it is "lncRNA (ENSZALG00000010101.1)". Lineage: Eukaryota; Metazoa; Chordata; Aves; Passeriformes; Passerellidae. The record is from RNAcentral.